Molecule: unclassified non-coding RNA, 400 nt
Filed under: Hevea brasiliensis (rubber tree)
Lineage: Eukaryota; Viridiplantae; Streptophyta; Magnoliopsida; Malpighiales; Euphorbiaceae
Source: RNAcentral
AAUACUACGGUAUUUGAAAGGUACACUAGAAAGAGGAAUUAUAUUCAAGAAAGGAGGAGUGACUCUUGAAGCCUAUACAAAUGCUAAUUAUGCAGGAUCCAUAGUUGAUAGAAAAUCUACAUCAGGUUAUUGCACCUUUUUAGAGGGUGAUCUUGUAACUUGGAGAAGCAAAAAGCAGCAUGUGGUUGUCAGGUCUAGUGCAGAAGCCGAAUUCAAAGCAAUGGCACUUGGGAUCUGUGAACUAUUAUGCAUAAAAAUAAUGUUAGAAGAACUAAAGGUUAGGUGGAAAUAGGAGUGGCCACAGUCUCGUUUCGAAUCGGAAUUGAACCGGAACCAGUUCAGUCAAAACCAGACUGAAACCGGCUUCGAACAGGAUUGAAACCGUCCUUCUACGGUUUGG